Poecilia latipinna (sailfin molly) is the source of this 710-nucleotide long non-coding RNA. RefSeq lists it as uncharacterized. The record is from RefSeq and is a predicted model, not a curated record. NCBI's taxonomy places the organism in Eukaryota, Metazoa, Chordata, Actinopteri, Cyprinodontiformes, Poeciliidae. The transcript has 2 exons.
GGAGCAGCAAAGCGUAUUCAACCCCUCUUGAAAUAUUUAGAUUGUGCCAAACUACAACACAGACCAACACAAAUGUAGUGCAAGUAGACAAAAAAAAAAGGUCUCUGAUGACAGAAACUGUUUGUUGAAGUGGCACAAAUAAUUUUUGCAUUAUCUUUUGUGGGGAAAUAUUCACUGGCUGUAAAUUCUGAUUGUUUGUCUUUGAGUGUUGGACUGUUCACAUGUGGAAUGGAUGUUUGAUUCAUGUUUAGAAGAUUAAACAGUUUUAGUCGUUUGAGAUCUCAGGUUUGUUUUGAUUCUGUUUUUUCCUGAAAGGAGGAAGACUUGCUGUCAGUUUGAGUCACAUCCUGACUGGACGAUGUUUUAGAUGUAUUGUGAAGGUCUUGUGUGAAUGAAUGAUACAUUUUAUCUGCUUUCAAAAGGGUGGAAAUCAAGAAAUUUUACUUUAGAUUCUGUAUUUUCUUACAUGCAUGUAACGGUUAAUGAUUAGGUAAAAAUAGAGCAGACUGUAAGCUGGACAUCAACAGAUGGGUGCAAGUCAGAGUCAUGCACCAGCUGUAGGAAUGUACAGGUCAUCUUGAGUGUGUGAGGAGAGAGAGAGGGAGAGAGAGAGAGAGAGAGAGAGAGAGAGAGAGGACUACGAGGAGCUCAGAGUCUGACAGAACGAUGACAUUUCCUCUUGUGUGGGACUGUGUGUUGAGGCAAAAAAA